UACGUAGGGUGCAAGCGUUGUCCGGAAUUAUUGGGCGUAAAGAGCUCGUAGGCGGUUCGUCGCGUCGGCUGUGAAAUCCCGAGGCUCAACCCCGGGCCUGCAGUGGAUACGGGCUGGCUAGAGGCAGGCAGGGGAGAACGGAAUUCCUGGUGUAGCGGUGAAAUGCGCAGAUAUCAGGAGGAACACCGGUGGCGAAGGCGGUUCUCUGGGCCUUACCUGACGCUGAGGAGCGAAAGCGUGGGGAGCAAACAGG
Molecule: ribosomal RNA, 253 nt
Filed under: uncultured bacterium
Lineage: Bacteria
Description: partial 16S ribosomal RNA
Rfam family: Bacterial small subunit ribosomal RNA
Source: RNAcentral